This 626-nucleotide ribosomal RNA is filed under the name Janthinobacterium sp. RNAcentral's name for it is "bacterial SSU rRNA". It matches the Rfam family "Bacterial small subunit ribosomal RNA", at positions 56 to 677 of the family's 1533-position model. The record is from RNAcentral. Lineage: Bacteria; Pseudomonadati; Pseudomonadota; Betaproteobacteria; Burkholderiales; Oxalobacteraceae.
UGCAAGUCGAACGGCAGCACGGAGCUUGCUCUGGUGGCGAGUGGCGAACGGGUGAGUAAUAUAUCGGAACGUACCCUGGAGUGGGGGAUAACGUAGCGAAAGUUACGCUAAUACCGCAUACGAUCUACGGAUGAAAGUGGGGGAUCGCAAGACCUCAUGCUCGUGGAGCGGCCGAUAUCUGAUUAGCUAGUUGGUAGGGUAAAAGCCUACCAAGGCAUCGAUCAGUAGCUGGUCUGAGAGGACGACCAGCCACACUGGAACUGAGACACGGUCCAGACUCCUACGGGAGGCAGCAGUGGGGAAUUUUGGACAAUGGGCGAAAGCCUGAUCCAGCAAUGCCGCGUGAGUGAAGAAGGCCUUCGGGUUGUAAAGCUCUUUUGUCAGGGAAGAAACGGUGAGAGCUAAUAUCUCUUGCUAAUGACGGUACCUGAAGAAUAAGCACCGGCUAACUACGUGCCAGCAGCCGCGGUAAUACGUAGGGUGCAAGCGUUAAUCGGAAUUACUGGGCGUAAAGCGUGCGCAGGCGGUUUUGUAAGUCUGAUGUGAAAUCCCCGGGCUCAACCUGGGAAUUGCAUUGGAGACUGCAAGGCUAGAAUCUGGCAGAGGGGGGUAGAAUUCCACGUGUA